This 400-nucleotide ribosomal RNA is filed under the name uncultured bacterium. Its description in RNAcentral is "bacterial SSU rRNA". It matches the Rfam family "Bacterial small subunit ribosomal RNA", at positions 355 to 752 of the family's 1533-position model. The record is from RNAcentral.
UAAGGAAUAUUGGUCAAUGGGCGGAAGCCUGAACCAGCCAUGCCGCGUGGAGGAUGAAGGCGUUUUGCGUUGUAAACUUCUUUGGUCGGAGACGAAACCCUUCCCUGCGGGGGAGGCUGACGCUAUCCGAAGAACAAGCACCGGCUAACUCCGUGCCAGCAGCCGCGGUAAUACGGAGGGUGCAAGCGUUAUCCGGAUUCACUGGGUUUAAAGGGAGCGCAGGCGGUCUUGUAAGUCAGAGGUGAAAGCCCGGCGCUUAACGUCGGAACUGCCUCUGAUACUGCAUGACUUGAGUACGAAUGAGGUAGGCGGAAUGCGUCAUGUAGCGGUGAAAUGCAUAGAGAUGACGUAGAACACCGAUUGCGAAGGCAGCUUACUAAUUCGGCACUGACGCUGAGGC